CUCCCUUCUCUUUAAAAUCUCUAACAUGAUAGGGUAUUUAUAAUACUCCUAUCCUACUCCUACUAAACUAAUAAAAUAAAUAACCAAAUCCUAAUAUACUAAUGAAAUCCUUGACCCAAUUGUACUAGGGUAAGGUUACAAAAUUAUAAUCCAAAUAGAAUGAUGAAACACAUAACCUAAUUGCACUAGGUUAAUGUAUUAUGGCAAAAAUCCAG
This 215-nucleotide long non-coding RNA is filed under the name Capsicum annuum. Its description in RNAcentral is "long non-coding RNA (CANN_LNC016907)". Lineage: Eukaryota; Viridiplantae; Streptophyta; Magnoliopsida; Solanales; Solanaceae. The record is from RNAcentral.